Molecule: ribosomal RNA, 503 nt
Filed under: uncultured bacterium
Lineage: Bacteria
Description: bacterial SSU rRNA
Rfam family: Bacterial small subunit ribosomal RNA
Source: RNAcentral
CUGGCUCAGGAUGAACGCUGGCGGCGUGCAUAACACAUUCAAGUCGAACGAAGCACUGACGAUGAAGUCUUCGGACGGAAUUGUCUUUGACUUAGUGGCGGACGGGUGAGUAACGCGUGAGCAACCUUCCUGGUAGUGGGGGAUAACACAGGGAAACUUGUGCUAAUACCGCAUGACGCACUGAGGUCGCAUGGUUUUAGUGCCAAAGAUUUAUUGCUACCAGAUGGGCUCGCGUCUGAUUAGAUAGUUGGCAGGGUAACGGCCUACCAAGUCGACGAUCAGUAGCCGGACUGAGAGGCUGAACGGCCACAUUGGAACUGAGAGACGGUCCAGACUCCUACGGGAGGCAGCAGUGGGGAAUAUUGGGCAAUGGGCGAAAGCCUGACCCAGCCGACGCCGCGUGAGGGAAGAAGGUCUUCGGAUUGUAAACCUCUUUCAGCAAGGAAGAAGAAAGUGACGGUACUUGCAGAAGAAGCCACGGCUAACUACGUGCCAGCAGCAGC